GGCAAUGCCUCCCAGGCUUGGGAGCUGGGAAAAGGCCCCAGGAGCUAGGGCAUCCUGAUUGUUCUUUCAAAGAAAUCCCUCUUGUUCUUAGUCAACAUGCUGGAUACCAGCUAAAAAAUGCAAAAUGAUCUUCAGGCAGGGAUGGCACAGGACCCUUGCUGAGCUGUGAAGCCUGGCUGUGAGGAUUCCUGCAUGGAAACAUCAACAUGUUGCCAGAUUGGUAUACGACUCAACACCACACUGAUUCUCCGGAGAAAAAGGCUGGCUCGCAAGAGGAUGCCAGAAGAGUGACAUCUCCCUCAUCAGCGCUUUGCCUCUUAAGAGAUCCAGGGAGAAGUGAGAGCUUGUGUUGGUUCAGAGCCUCAGAAAUACGGCCAACAUUGCUCUGAGGAACUAGCUCCUAUCAGUCUGCAGCUCUGUCCUGGGCACAUCAGGAUUAGUCUCAUGCUUUGUCAUUGCACGCAUCACAGGUUGGCUGCGUCGGCUCCCAUCAUAUGCCAUCAACAAUGUCAACACUUGACAUGCUGCUCCCAAACAGUGCCUUUGAAUCAAGACCCAGUCAUCGUAUUCGAAGAAAAAGGAAAUAUCCCUGACCAUGUUGGGACUUAACACUGCUUCACAGAGCUACCCAAACCAAGGAGAAUACCAACGUGAAUUGUCUUUCCACCUGUUGUGUGGGGCCAGCAAUUAUUCUUUUAGCUUGACGCGUUAACCCACCUGCUCCCUGUGGCCCUGGGAUGCUCUGCCAUCCCCCGUGGCUGCCAGUUCACUUAGGGUAGACUUAUGGCAGAGGGAUGUCAAUUUUGCUUGAACUGCUCAAUCACUGCUGACAUUUCGUUAACCACCCUAUGAACUUCUCAAGCCUGAAGUAGCAGCAACUUGUGCCCUUGAAAACUGAACAGAAAACAACUGUAUUGAUUUUCUACUAUCAACAAGAAAAAGACAAUUUCUCUUUGCUGAGAAUGUUCAUAAUGCAUUUUACACCACUUAUUCUCGGCAGUCCACCUCUUCCUGAUAUAUUGUUGGGCCUCUUUAAACCCCUGCUGCUUUAGACUCUGCUAGAAUUAACCCUGAAAUGCCAGCACCAUCUCAAGCCCUUCCAGUUCCCGGAUAGAAAUGUUCAUCAGUGCUGAAUUGACAGCCUACUUAGGCAAGGGAGCUGUGAUCAUUUAGAAAUUACAAAGGAACUCAGGCCUGGGUGAAGGGUUUGGGGUUGGGACACUAGGAAUCUCUUUUAGUAAAAUUCUCUUUUAAAAGAA
RNAcentral lists this long non-coding RNA (1259 nucleotides) under Homo sapiens (human). RNAcentral describes it as "novel transcript". The record is from RNAcentral. Lineage: Eukaryota; Metazoa; Chordata; Mammalia; Primates; Hominidae.